RNAcentral lists this ribosomal RNA (2930 nucleotides) under Escherichia coli. RNAcentral's name for it is "bacterial LSU rRNA". It matches the Rfam family "Bacterial large subunit ribosomal RNA". The record is from RNAcentral. Lineage: Bacteria; Pseudomonadati; Pseudomonadota; Gammaproteobacteria; Enterobacterales; Enterobacteriaceae.
GGGUUGUGAGGUUAAGCGACUAAGCGUACACGGUGGAUGCCCUGGCAGUCAGAGGCGAUGAAGGACGUGCUAAUCUGCGAUAAGCGUCGGUAAGGUGAUAUGAACCGUUAUAACCGGCGAUUUCCGAAUGGGGAAACCCAGUGUGWUUCGWCACACUAUCAUUAACUGAAUCCAUAGGUUAAUGAGGCGAACCGGGGGAACUGAAACAUCUAAGUACCCCGAGGAAAAGAAAUCAACCGAGAUUCCCCCAGUAGCGGCGAGCGAACGGGGAGCAGCCCAGAGCCUGAAUCAGUGUGUGUGUUAGUGGAAGCGUCUGGAAAGGCGCGCGAUACAGGGUGACAGCCCCGUACACAAAAAUGCACAURCUGUGAGCUCGAUGAGUAGGGCGGGACACGUGGUAUCCUGUCUGAAUAUGGGGGGACCAUCCUCCAAGGCUAAAUACUCCUGACUGACCGAUAGUGAACCAGUACCGUGAGGGAAAGGCGAAAAGAACCCCGGCGAGGGGAGUGAAAAAGAACCUGAAACCGUGUACGUACAAGCAGUGGGAGCACGCUUAGGCGUGUGACUGCGUACCUUUUGUAUAAUGGGUCAGCGACUUAUAUUCUGUAGCAAGGUUAACCGAAUAGGGGAGCCGAAGGGAAACCGAGUCUUAACUGGGCGUUAAGUUGCAGGGUAUAGACCCGAAACCCGGUGAUCUAGCCAUGGGCAGGUUGAAGGUUGGGUAACACUAACUGGAGGACCGAACCGACUAAUGUUGAAAAAUUAGCGGAUGACUUGUGGCUGGGGGUGAAAGGCCAAUCAAACCGGGAGAUAGCUGGUUCUCCCCGAAAGCUAUUUAGGUAGCGCCUCGUGAAUUCAUCUCCGGGGGUAGAGCACUGUUUCGGCAAGGGGGUCAUCCCGACUUACCAACCCGAUGCAAACUGCGAAUACCGGAGAAUGUUAUCACGGGAGACACACGGCGGGUGCUAACGUCCGUCGUGAAGAGGGAAACAACCCAGACCGCCAGCUAAGGUCCCAAAGUCAUGGUUAAGUGGGAAACGAUGUGGGAAGGCCCAGACAGCCAGGAUGUUGGCUUAGAAGCAGCCAUCAUUUAAAGAAAGCGUAAUAGCUCACUGGUCGAGUCGGCCUGCGCGGAAGAUGUAACGGGGCUAAACCAUGCACCGAAGCUGCGGCAGCGACGCUKAUGCGUUGUUGGGUAGGGGAGCGUUCUGUAAGCCUGUGAAGGUGUACUGUGAGGUAUGCUGGAGGUAUCAGAAGUGCGAAUGCUGACAUAAGUAACGAUAAAGCGGGUGAAAAGCCCGCUCGCCGGAAGACCAAGGGUUCCUGUCCAACGUUAAUCGGGGCAGGGUGAGUCGACCCCUAAGGCGAGGCCGAAAGGCGUAGUCGAUGGGAAACAGGUUAAUAUUCCUGUACUUGGUGUUACUGCGAAGGGGGGACGGAGAAGGCUAUGUUGGCCGGGCGACGGUUGUCCCGGUUUAAGCGUGUAGGCUGGUUUUCCAGGCAAAUCCGGAAAAUCAAGGCUGAGGCGUGAUGACGAGGCACUACGGUGCUGAAGCAACAAAUGCCCUGCUUCCAGGAAAAGCCUCUAAGCAUCAGGUAACAUCAAAUCGUACCCCAAACCGACACAGGUGGUCAGGUAGAGAAUACCAAGGCGCUUGAGAGAACUCGGGUGAAGGAACUAGGCAAAAUGGUGCCGUAACUUCGGGAGAAGGCACGCUGAUAUGUAGGUGAAGUCCCUCGCGGAUGGAGCUGAAAUCAGUCGAAGAUACCAGCUGGCUGCAACUGUUUAUUAAAAACACAGCACUGUGCAAACACGAAAGUGGACGUAUACGGUGUGACGCCUGCCCGGUGCCGGAAGGUUAAUUGAUGGGGUYAGCGCAAGCGAAGCUCUUGAUCGAAGCCCCGGUAAACGGCGGCCGUAACUAUAACGGUCCUAAGGUAGCGAAAUUCCUUGUCGGGUAAGUUCCGACCUGCACGAAUGGCGUAAUGAUGGCCAGGCUGUCUCCACCCGAGACUCAGUGAAAUUGAACUCGCUGUGAAGAUGCAGUGUACCCGCGGCAAGACGGAAAGACCCCGUGAACCUUUACUAUAGCUUGACACUGAACAUUGAGCCUUGAUGUGUAGGAUAGGUGGGAGGCUUUGAAGUGUGGACGCCAGUCUGCAUGGAGCCGACCUUGAAAUACCACCCUUUAAUGUUUGAUGUUCUAACGUKGACCCGURAUCCGGGUUGCGGACAGUGUCUGGUGGGUAGUUUGACUGGGGCGGUCUCCUCCUAAAGAGUAACGGAGGAGCACGAAGGUUGGCUAAUCCUGGUCGGACAUCAGGAGGUUAGUGCAAUGGCAUAAGCCAGCUUGACUGCGAGCGUGACGGCGCGAGCAGGUGCGAAAGCAGGUCAUAGUGAUCCGGUGGUUCUGAAUGGAAGGGCCAUCGCUCAACGGAUAAAAGGUACUCCGGGGAUAACAGGCUGAUACCGCCCAAGAGUUCAUAUCGACGGCGGUGUUUGGCACCUCGAUGUCGGCUCAUCACAUCCUGGGGCUGAAGUAGGUCCCAAGGGUAUGGCUGUUCGCCAUUUAAAGUGGUACGCGAGCUGGGUUUAGAACGUCGUGAGACAGUUCGGUCCCUAUCUGCCGUGGGCGCUGGAGAACUGAGGGGGGCUGCUCCUAGUACGAGAGGACCGGAGUGGACGCAUCACUGGUGUUCGGGUUGUCAUGCCAAUGGCACUGCCCGGUAGCUAAAUGCGGAAGAGAUAAGUGCUGAAAGCAUCUAAGCACGAAACUUGCCCCGAGAUGAGUUCUCCCUGACUCCUUGAGAGUCCUGAAGGAACGUUGAAGACGACGACGUUGAUAGGCCGGGUGUGUAAGCGCAGCGAUGCGUUGAGCUAACCGGUACUAAUGAACCGUGAGGCUUAACCUUACAACGCCGAAGMUGUU